Megalops cyprinoides (Indo-Pacific tarpon) is the source of this 1081-nucleotide long non-coding RNA. RefSeq lists it as uncharacterized. The record is from RefSeq and is a predicted model, not a curated record. The transcript has 3 exons. NCBI's taxonomy places the organism in Eukaryota, Metazoa, Chordata, Actinopteri, Elopiformes, Megalopidae.
GCUAGCUGGCAGCACCGGGCCCGAGACACAAAGCUCCGAGGCUGCGUUGCUAACAAGAUAAAUGACCAUGAUGGAGCCGAUGGAGCGAAUCGCUGCGCGUCCAAGCUGCAGAACGAAGUAGCGUGGGCUUAUGCAACCAGGAUCAAGCAAGUCGGGAGGUGGAGUGCAGACCGAAAUGAGGGAAGAGGAAAAGGGGGUAAAGUCCUGCAGGACGAACUUUCGAAGAUCUCUGAGACGGAGAAGAAAUGUCAAACAGUUACGUGUUAACAUCAGUGUUGUCAGAGCGUUUCUUGCGCCACCUUUCAUCAUCCCCUCGGCCCUGAGGGAGGCCCACGUAAUACGGACAGAGGCCUCCAGCCGGCGGCCGCUCCAGGCCUGGCCUCCCUCCGGCCGGGUACAGGGCCCCGAACCCCUGCGUCUGAGGCGGGGUCCUCGCCAUCUGUGAUGUCACCCCCGCUGCCAAUAGCAGCCCUCCGAGGAGCGAGGCGGGCAGCCGCGGAGACGCCCCCCCCAACCUGCGCCUCUCCUCUCCUCUCCUCUCCCCAUGAAUUCGGGGAGCAUUUGGAAGCCCUCUCCGCACCCAGUAGCGUAGCGACGGUGGCCAAACAUGACAAAAAAGGGUGAACAAGUGACUCUCUGCCAGCGUGAGUUCAGCCAGCAGAACUGCAGUGAUCAAAAAAAGCAAAGGUGGGGUCUGGAGCUGUAACACACUGACGAGAAACAUUGUAACACAAGAGAAAUAAUUUACUGCUUAAAUUUCACCCUCUCUGACCCCACCAUGGCAGUGUAACCUUGCUCCACAAGUUCAGCUUUCUUGGCUACUUAUCUCUGAUUUUUCCCUCCAAUGUUACAUCAUGUCUCUCCUAACAGCAAAAAAAAUGUAUUGGCACCUCAGGGUGAAUUUAAAGUAAUACUGUUGCUUGUAUGUUUUAUGUAUCAAACACAUGGCUUUUUUUUGAAGGAAAAGAAAACCCAAGCAUGCUGCCAAAUGUCCUCGCUGGUCGAGUCCAAUAAAGACAGCGCCAAAUCUCCAUGUUCCACUAGAAGUGAGUGGGAAAAGAUGGGGAAAGAAACGCACCCU